Molecule: ribosomal RNA, 620 nt
Filed under: uncultured diatom
Lineage: Eukaryota; Bacillariophyta
Description: bacterial SSU rRNA
Rfam family: Bacterial small subunit ribosomal RNA
Source: RNAcentral
GAAUCUGCCUUUAGGAGGGGGAUAACAACUGGAAACGGUUGCUAAUACCCCAUAUGCUUUCGAGUGAAAUGGAUUUAUCCGCCUAAAGAGGAGCUCGCGGCUGAUUAGCUUGUUGGUAGGGUAAUGGCCUACCAAGGCGACGAUCAGUAUCUGGUUUGAGAGGACGAUCAGACACACUGGAACUGAGACACGGUCCAGACUCCUACGGAAGGCAGCAGUGGGGAAUUUUCCGCAAUGGGCGAAAGCCUGACGGAGCAAUACCGCGUGAGGGAAGACGGCCUAUGGGUUGUAAACCUCUUUUCUCAGGGAGGAACUCAAUGACGUGUACCUGAGGAAUAAGCAUCGGCUAACUCCGUGCCAGCAGCCGCGGUAAGACGGAGGAUGCAAGUGUUAUCCGGAAUCACUGGGCGUAAAGCGUCUGUAGGUGGUUUAAUAAGUCAACUGUUAAAUCUUGAGGCUCAACUUCAAAAUCGCAGUCGAAACUAUUAGACUAGAGUAUAGUAGGGGUAAAGGGAAUUUCCAGUGGAGCGGUGAAAUGCGUAGAGAUUGGAAAGAACACCGAUGGCGAAGGCACUUUACUGGGCUAUUACUAACACUCAGAGACGAAAGCUAGGGUAGCA